This 293-nucleotide ribosomal RNA is filed under the name uncultured bacterium. RNAcentral's name for it is "partial 16S ribosomal RNA". It matches the Rfam family "Bacterial small subunit ribosomal RNA", at positions 505 to 796 of the family's 1533-position model. The record is from RNAcentral.
GUGCCAGCCGCCGCGGUAAUACGAAGGGGGCUAGCGUUGUUCGGAAUCACUGGGCGUAAAGCGCACGCAGGCGGAUCGUUAAGUCAGGGGUGAAAUGCCGAGGCUCAACCUCGGAACUGCCUUUGAUACUGGCGAUCUUAGAGUCCGGGAGAGGUGAGUGGAACUCCGAGUGUAGAGGUGAAAUUCGUAGAUAUUCGGAAGAACACCAGUGGCGAAGGCGGCUCACUGGCCCGGUACUGACGCUCAGGUGCGAAAGCGUGGGGAGCAAACAGGAUUAGAUACCCUGGUAGUCC